RNAcentral lists this ribosomal RNA (615 nucleotides) under Papiliotrema laurentii. Its description in RNAcentral is "eukaryotic LSU rRNA". It matches the Rfam family "Eukaryotic large subunit ribosomal RNA", at positions 40 to 626 of the family's 3401-position model. The record is from RNAcentral. Lineage: Eukaryota; Fungi; Basidiomycota; Tremellomycetes; Tremellales; Rhynchogastremaceae.
AUAUCAAAAGCGGAGGAAAAGAAAAUAACAAGGAUUCCCCUAGUAACGGCGAGUGAACCGGGAAGAGCUCAAAUUUGAAAUCUGGCGUGCUCAGUGCGUCCGAGUUGUAAUCUAUAGAGUCGUUUUCCGUGCCGGACUGUGUCCAAGUCCCUUGGAACAGGGUAUCAAAGAGGGUGAUAAUCCCGUACUUGACACAAUGACCGGUGCUCUGUGAUACGUCUUCUACGAGUCGAGUUGUUUGGGAAUGCAGCUCAAAAUGGGUGGUGAGUUCCAUCUAAAGCUAAAUAUUGGCGAGAGACCGAUAGCGAACAAGUACCGUGAGGGAAAGAUGAAAAGCACUUUGGAAAGAGAGUUAAACAGUACGUGAAAUUGUUAAAAGGGAAACGAUUGAAGUCAGUCGUGACUGAGAGGCUCAGCCGGUUCUGCCGGUGUAUUCCCCUCAGUCGGGUCAACAUCAGUUUUGUUCGGUGGAUAAGGGCAGUUGGAAGGUGGCACCCUCGGGUGUGUUAUAGCCAGCUGUCGCAUACAUCGGAUGAGUACUGAGGUAAUGCAGCUCGCCUUUAUGGCCGGGGUUCGCCCAAUGCUCGAGCAGAGAACGCGGAUGAUUGAGGGAGU